RNAcentral lists this long non-coding RNA (248 nucleotides) under Melopsittacus undulatus (budgerigar). Its description in RNAcentral is "lncRNA (ENSMUNG00000019724.1)". Lineage: Eukaryota; Metazoa; Chordata; Aves; Psittaciformes; Psittaculidae. The record is from RNAcentral.
CCGAUAUAAGGCGGCGCGGGCGCGGAAGGAGCUGUCGCACCCAGCGGUGGUGUUGGAGGGGGAGGAGCGAGGAGGAAGACUUGCCAGACAAGAUCCAAAACCAGUGUGACCUUCACAUUUCUAAUAAGGCGAUUCUGAAACUCCAAGUAGAGGAUUCCUAGCCUGAACUCUUGAGCUACUCAGUACAGGCGUUUGAAGAUGCAGCAAGCCUGGUAGUGGGGACAGAAAGAAUCUCCUUAAAGAAGUUG